Long non-coding RNA from Papaver somniferum (opium poppy), 2513 nucleotides. RefSeq lists it as uncharacterized. Lineage: Eukaryota; Viridiplantae; Streptophyta; Magnoliopsida; Ranunculales; Papaveraceae. The transcript has 3 exons. The record is from RefSeq and is a predicted model, not a curated record.
CUGAUGUUGACAUUUUUGCAUUCGUAUGUGCUCAACUCUCAGUGCUAUAGAGGGAGAAACUACUGCUGCUUGCUGAACUUGGUUAGCAUUUGUACAUCUAAGGUUCGUUGCAUUGAAAAGCAUAUCCUGUUAGAUGCAAUAAUGCUAACCCACUUCAAGCUAGGAAAACUAAAAAUAUUCCAGUUGAUAAUUCUGCUCGGAUAGCUUCAGCAUCAAGUAAAGGUAAAUAGUUAUGUUUUUUUAUGUGGUAGUCGUUCAUAUCGGUGUCCACUUAAAUUUAAUAAAAAAAAUUAAGUAUUAAAAUAGCAGGUACACCACAGAGAAAGUGGGUCCUUUUCAGUAUUAUCUUCAUUAUGGAAACAAUAGCUUCCGCCCAAACACGAUCAAGGUAUUCUAUACUAAUGGCAAGAACUUUCCGUUUUGCUAUUGCAGUUUGGGUUCGACCAUACACUUGAAGUUUUGUUUUUCAGACUUCAUCAUUGUUAUCAGGCAUUGUAUUGGUCUGUUUGAGAUUAUUCAUAAGAGUUAAUUUCAGAGUAAUCUGUGCUAAUCAGUAAACAAGAACUUGUCAUUUUUCCAUUGCAGUUUGGGCUCGACCAUACUUACCACUGGCAUAAUCAGAUACAAUGGCGUGCGCUUAAUGACAUUAAUGUUGGAGUUUGUGAAGGAAUGACAUACAAAGAGAUAAAUAAAAACAUGCAUUGGGAAUAUGAGGUGGGAGUAGCGUGGAAGGACCAAUCUCAAAGGAAGAAACAUCUUGCAGAGGAAGGGUAACAAUGUUUUGGUCUGUAUAAUAACUUCUUAAAAUUGAUCCAUUAGAGUCACCAUGAAUGUGAUAAAUUCAAGGCAAUAACUUUGAUAGAUUCAUGGUAUUUGCUGUGCUUUUCCAUCAUAUUCGAGUUAUGUGGCCGACCAAUAUGUUUGAUUUAUGUGGCUAACUUCUCAGAAGUCAUAGAAAUGCUCAAGUCCAAGUAUCUAUCCUAUCCAUUUGAGAACAGGUGAGUUGGAGACAUAUAAUAUAACGAACAAACCUGUAUCACUCUUUUAUUGAUUUAUUGUUGGUUACGAGUCUCCAAAGCUGCAUUUACAUAUGGCUCACCAUAUGUAUGUUUACAUGUGCAUGGUGUUAUAGGUUCAAACAUGGUGCAUUUCAUUUAGGGGUCUCUUUUCUCUGUGCAAUGUACAGUCCUCUAUAUAUUGUUAUCGUUAAAAUCCUGGCUGGCUCUUAUUCCUUCACGAAGAGCUAUAUACAGAAAGGUAAAUCAGUUGAACUAUUAUCCUAACUUGAACGAUCCUGUUUUGCUUUAUCAUAUAAAUAAUCAAAGUAGAUGUAUCUUUUGGUAAUUAACAGGAAAAAGUAGUUUUGAAAUAUAUCUUUCCCGGCGUUUUCAGUAUGCAGUGGGCGAUGUUGAAGAGGAGAAGCUUUGAUUAUUGAUUUCGUCUGACAUUCAUUCUUUGGUCCUGUAGUAGUCCUCCAGUUCAAGAGGCAAUAGUCCAAUCCCUGAGUAUGUGCAGUAUUUUCAGUAUUCCACGUACAUUCAAAUCACAAAUAAGAACAACAAGAUUGGUGUAUAGUCCACUCUAUCAUACUAAUCACCAGUGACUCUUAAGUUAUUUUAUGAUACCUCAAGUUUUUUAGUAAGUUAGUGUUUGCAUGAUAUGUUACUUGAUUUGUAUUGGUAAUAAGAGAUAUAGCUCUCUGUAAGGGAGUGAAAGCCGCUGUGGAAAUGCAAGUAGAAGCGGAGCGUAAAAAGAUGAGCUCAAAAACUGAUAGUAGAAAACCAAAUCUUUAGUGUUUUGUAAUAUUUACUGGACUAGGAUCCCUAAUCUUUAGUGUUUAAACUUUAUUAUUGCAGGGAAAGUUUAUCUUUCUGGACAUCUGCUGUGAUCUGGUUAUUGUUAAAGAGUACAAAAGCAGUGCUAUCAACCCUGUUUUUAUCGAGAAAGACAACAAUGAAGACUACACCAAUGUAUGACCAUCAUAAAAAGGAAUUGGAUAAUCGAAAGCUUCACAAGACCAUCAUAGAGUUCUUCAAACUAUCAUGGGCUCCAGUGGCAUUUGAUGUUCUUCCAUACCUUUGGUUGCUUGAUGUGGAUGGACAAAAGAAACACAUGAAGAAAAGAGACAAGAAAGGACUUAAUUUGAGAAAUGGCUUGAACAGGACUACUGAAUACCAUCAAAGUAGGCCAGGGUUAGAGAUGCUGCAAAGAAAAGGUUGACGGGUUUAUGAAUCCUUACGAGAACAUGAGGAAGAGGUAAUUUUCCUUGCUUUUUAUAUAAUAUUGCCUCCAUACGAGGAAAAUUGAUACUUUCCAUUUUCCAUUUUUGCCUUAAAAUAGGCCAAACUUUAAAGGUGAAAGUAUCACUUUACCCGAAAUGGAGAGAGUAUUUCUAUUAGUCUUAUUUAUGGAAAUACACGUUCAUCUUUUGUGUCCGAUGUACUUUUUUUAGUUGACCAGACGAGCUCAUCGUGUUGUAAAAUGUUGAUGAUAACCAUUAGUGACGACUAAUU